This 478-nucleotide ribosomal RNA is filed under the name uncultured bacterium. RNAcentral's name for it is "partial 16S ribosomal RNA". It matches the Rfam family "Bacterial small subunit ribosomal RNA", at positions 28 to 507 of the family's 1533-position model. The record is from RNAcentral.
GAUGAACGCUAGCGGCAGGCCUAACACAUGCAAGUCGAGGGAGAAGCCCUUUCGGGGUCAGCAACCGGCGCACGGGUGCGUAACGCGUAUGCAACCUACCUUUCACAGGGGGAUAGCCCGAAGAAAUUUGGAUUAAUACCCCAUAAUAUUAUUGGAUGGCAUCAUUUGAUAAUUAAAACUGCGGUGGUGAAAGAUGGGCAUGCGUCCUAUUAGCUAGUUGGAGUGGUAACGGCACCCCAAGGCUACGAUAGGUAGGGGUCCUGAGAGGGAGAUCCCCCACACAGGUACUGAGACAGGGACCAGAAUCCGACGGGAGGCAGCAGUGAGGAAGAUAGGUAAAUGGUGGGAAGACUGAACCAGCCAUGCCGCGUGCAGGAAGAAUGCCUUAUGGGUUGUAAACUGCUUUUAGAUGGGAAGAAUAAGGCGUACGUGUACGUUGAUGACGGUACCAUAUGAAUAAGCAUCGGCUAACUCCGUG